RNAcentral lists this transfer RNA (69 nucleotides) under Rattus norvegicus (Norway rat). It matches the Rfam family "tRNA". From Rfam's summary of the family: Transfer RNA (tRNA) molecules are approximately 80 nucleotides in length. Lineage: Eukaryota; Metazoa; Chordata; Mammalia; Rodentia; Muridae. The record is from Rfam by way of RNAcentral.
GGGGAUUUGGUUCAAUGGUAGAGCGCUUGCCUAGGAAGCGCAAGGUCCUGGGUUCAAUCCCCAGCCCCG